Molecule: ribosomal RNA, 253 nt
Filed under: uncultured bacterium
Lineage: Bacteria
Description: partial 16S ribosomal RNA
Rfam family: Bacterial small subunit ribosomal RNA
Source: RNAcentral
UACGUAGGGGGCAAGCGUUGUCCGGAAUCAUUGGGCGUAAAGCGUGCGCAGGCGGUUUGUUAAGACAGAUGUGAAAUCCCCGGGCUUAACCUGGGAACUGCAUUUGUGACUGGCAAGCUAGAGUAUGGCAGAGGGGGGUAGAAUUCCACGUGUAGCAGUGAAAUGCGUAGAGAUGUGGAGGAAUACCGAUGGCGAAGGCAGCCCCCUGGGCCAAUACUGACGCUCAUGCACGAAAGCGUUGGGAGCAAACAGG